Protopterus annectens (West African lungfish) is the source of this 3821-nucleotide ribosomal RNA. NCBI's taxonomy places the organism in Eukaryota, Metazoa, Chordata, Ceratodontiformes, Protopteridae. The record is from RefSeq and is a predicted model, not a curated record.
CGACCUCAGAUCAGGCAUGGUGACCCGCUGAAUUUAAGCAUAUUACUAAGUGGAGGAAAAGAAACUAACCAGGAUUCCCUCAUUAAUGGAGAGUGAAGAGGGAAGAGCCCAGUGUUGAAUCUCUGCCUGGGUAAUGGGUGCAGGGAAAUGUGCCAUAUGGAAUUAAACUUCCCCGACACCACCCGGGGGCCCACGUCCUUGUGAUCGAGGCUAAGCUUGCGGAUGGACUGAAGAAGGUGGUGGCCCCGGUGCAUCAGGAUCAGGUCUUCCCGGAGUGAGGUUGUUUGUGAAUGCAGCCCAAAGUGAGUAGUAAACUCCAUCUAGGCUAAACACUGGCAUGAGACCGAUAGCAGACAAGUACCGUAAGGGAAAGUUGAAAAGAACUUUGAAGAGAGAGUUCAAGAGGGCGUGAAACUGUUCAGAGGUAAAAGGGUGGGGACCACACGGUCCACCCAGAGGAUUCAAUUUGGUGGCCGCACAGGCCACCUGGGUGAGUUGAAUCCCCUCCCCCUCCAGGGGGGUUGGGGACCAUCCCUUAGCGUGCUGGCCAACAUCGGGUGCACUUCCUCUGUGGUGGUACACCAAGACCGGCUCUGGGUCAGCUGAGAAGGCCGCAUGGAAGGUGGCUCCCCUUCCUGGAGGGGAGUGUUACAGCCCAUGACAUCAGCCCUCACUAUGCCCCGGGUUGUGGGAAAUGACAGCCGCCACAACCACACCCAACCUUGUGGUGGGGGCCGGGAGCCCCCAGCUCCUGGCAGGACUGUCGACUGGGCCAGACUGCCCUCAGUGUGGCCUGACCAUGUCCUACUGCUGGGCCGGUGGGCUCACCUUGGGUGCUUGGGGUCCACGGCGAUGUCGGUGACCCACCCUUCCCAUCUUGACACACAGACCAAGCAGUCUAACAGGUGCGUGAGUCUGAGGAUUGGCAGGAGACCCCAUGGCACAAUAAAAGUGAGGGCCAGCAUGCGCUAGCUGAGGUGGGAUUCCCCCUGCCAUGCACGGGAGCACACUGCCAGCCCAUCUCACCCAUCCUGUCGGGGAAGUGGAUCAUGAGCACACCUGGUGGGACCUGAAAGAUGGUGAACUUUGCCUGGGCAGGGCAAAGUCAGAGGAGACUCUGGUGGAGGUCUGUAGUACUCCUGACGUGCACAUUGGUCAUCCAACCUGGGUAUACGGGCGAAAGACUAAUCAAACCAUCUAGUAGCUGGUUCCCUCUGAAGUUUUCCUCAGGUUAGCUGGCACUCGGUGGAUGCAGUUUUAUCUGGUAAAGACAAGGAUUAGAGGUCUUGGGGCCAAAACGAUCUCAGCCAAUUCUCAAACUGUAAAUGGGUAAGAAGCCUGACUCACUGGAUUGGAGCUGGGUGUGGAAUGCGAGUGUCCAGUGGGCCAGUUUUGGUAAGCAGAACUGGCGCUGCUGGAUGAACUGAAUGCCGGGUUAAGGCACCCAAUGCCAACACUCAUCAGACCCCAGAAAAGGUGUUGGCUGAUAUAGACAGCAGAACAGUGGCCAUGGAAGUCAGAAUCUGCUAAGGAGUGUGUAACACCUCACCUGCCGAAUCAACUAGCCCUAAAGAUGGAUGGCACUGGAGUGUCGGGCCCAUACUCGGCCGUCGCCGUUACUGGGACCCAAGGAGGCUACACUGUGAUGAGUAGCAGGGCCGCCGUGGUGGCACUGAAGCCCAGGGCUAGGAGCCGGGUGGAGCCACCAUGGGUGCAGAUCUUGAUGGUAGUAGCAAAUAUUCAAAUGAGAGCUUUGAAGGCUGAAGUGGAGAAGAGUUCCAUGUGAACAGCAAUUGAGCAUGGGUCCUUCGGUCCUGAGAGAUAGGCGAGUGCCAUUCCAAAGGGAUGGGUGAUGGCCUCCGUCGCCCUCAGCUGAUCGAAAGGUAGUCGGGGUUCAGAUCCCUGAAUCUGGAGCAGCGAAUAUGGGCACCUCGGGGUCUCCAGUGCAGUGAUGCAAACAAUCCCAUAGAAGCCAGUGGGGGCCCCUGGGAAAGUUGUCUUUUCUUUUUAAAGGGCAGGGCGCCCUGGGAUGGGUUCAUCUGGAGAGAGGGGCCCGAGUCCUGGAAAGCAUUGUGGUUCUGGCCGCAUUAGGUGAGCUCUCACCAGCCCUCAAAAAUCCAGGAGAGAGGGUGUAAGUUUCACGCCAGGCCUUACCCAUAUCUGCAGCAGGUCUCCAAGCUGAACAACCUCUGGCAUGUUAGAACAGUGUAGGUAAAGAAAGUUGGCAAGCCAGAUCUUUAACUUUGGGAUAAGGAUUGGCUCUAAUAGUUGGGUCGGUCAGGCUCAUGCAUGAAGUGGGGCUGGGUGCAUGCCACAUGGAUGAGGCAUCACCCCGUUGAUGCACUCUCUCUUCCCAGGGACAACAGGGGGAUGGCAGCGGCGACUCUGGAUGCACGCCGGGCCCUUCCUGUGGAUCACCGCGGUGCAUCAUCCGGCAGCUAGCAGCGGAUGUAGAACUGGUACAGACCAGGGAGUCCAACUGUUUAAUUAAAACAAAGCAUCGUGAAGGCCCGAGAUGGAUGGUGGCACAAUAUGAUUUCUUCGCAGUGCUCUGUAUGUCAAAGUGAAGAAAUUCAAUGAUGCAUGGCUAAACGGCAGGAAUAACUAUGACUCACUUAAAGUAGCCAAAUGCCUCAUCAUCUAAUUAGUGAUGUACAUGAAUGGAUGAAUGAGAUUCCCACUGUCCCUACCUACUAUCUAGUGAAACCACAGCUAAGGGAAUGGAUUUGGCAGAAUCAGUGGGGAAAGAAGAACCUGUCAAACUGAACGCUAGUCUGGCAUUGUAAAGAGACAUGAGAGAUGUAGAAUAAGUGGGAAGUUUCAGCUGCUGGUGAAAUAAAACUACUCAUCACUUUUACACUUACCCAGUAAGGUGGGGGGUGAGCCCCACUGGGUCUCUCACUUCUGGUUCCAAGCACCCAGGUGUCCAGGUGUGAUCCACUCUGUGGACAGUGUCAGGUAGGGAGUUUGACUGGGGAAGUACACCUGUCAAAGAGUAACACAGGUGUCCUUAGGUGAGCUCAGAGAGUACAGAAACCUCUCGUGGAGCAGAAAGGCAAAAGCUCGCUUGAUCUUGAUUUUCAGUAUGAAUACAGCCCGUGAAAGCAGGGUGUCAUUAUCCUUCUGGCUUUUUGGGUUUUAAGGUCAUUGAAAACAGAAAAGCACACAUUGCCACAGGUUGCUCACUUACACAGUAAAGGUUUUAAGCAGGAGGUGUCAGAAAAGUUACCACAGGGAUAACUGGCUUGUGGCGGCCAAGCAUUCAUAGCAAUGUCACUUUUUGAUCCUUCAUUGCCGGCUUUUCCUAUCAUUGUGAAGAAGAGUUCACCAAGCAUUGGAUUGUUCACCCACUAACAGGGAACAUGAGCUGGGAUUAGACCAUUGUGCGACAGGUUAGUUUUACCCUACUGAUGAUGUAUUGUUGUGAUAGUAAUCCUGCUCAGUAUGAGAGGAACCGCAGGUUCAGGCAUUUGGUGUAUGUGCUUGGCUGAGGAGCUAAUGGUGCAAAGCUACCUUCUUUGGGAAUAUGACUGAAUGCCUCUAAGUCAGAAUCCUGCCUAAACAUAACGAUACCUCAGCACUGCGGAUCUCCUGUUGGCCAGGGAUAGCUGGCCUCUAGGUCAGCAAAGAGCACUGCUCAUCACUGAGUCGGAGCAUGGAUGGAAGGGGGCCACCUCUCUCCAGCAGUGCACUGCACAUUCAUGGGGAACCGAAUGCUAAAUCAUUUGUAGAUUACCUGAUUCUGGGUCAAGGUUUCAUAUGUAGCAGAGCAGCAGAAAGCUGCGAUCUGUUGAAUGUCAGUCCUCGAGCCAAGCUUUUCU